GCCUAUUUAAUUAUCAUUUAUAUUGUUGACAAAGCAUCACUAUUAACUGAAUCGUUUGUUUGUCAGCAAUGGUUUAUCGUUGCUUAUAGAUAUACAUUAAAUUACAGUGACUGCAUCGAUCUCCAUUAUCCUAGGACGUCUUUUUUUUUAAAAUUUAGCAAUACAUUUUCAGAAUUUGAUUUGGAUCAUCGUGUGUACAUGUUGAACAAAAAUUAAUUUAAAUAAAGAUUUCAACAAACUUAUCUAAUUUAAUGUUGUUAUAGUUUAUUUAGUUACAGAUGUUUAAAUGUACCUAAUUUGAAUACAUUUUAUUUCGUGCGGAAUGUUUAAAAUUUUACAUAUUGUUGCCUACUGAUUACC
Cinara cedri is the source of this 360-nucleotide non-coding RNA. The record is from the annotation of a GenBank genome assembly. NCBI's taxonomy places the organism in Eukaryota, Metazoa, Arthropoda, Insecta, Hemiptera, Aphididae.